RNAcentral lists this ribosomal RNA (494 nucleotides) under uncultured bacterium. RNAcentral's name for it is "partial 16S ribosomal RNA". It matches the Rfam family "Bacterial small subunit ribosomal RNA", at positions 28 to 507 of the family's 1533-position model. The record is from RNAcentral.
GACGAACGCUGGCGGCGCGCUUAACACAUGCAAGUCGAACGGAAAGGCCUGCUUUCCCUUGUGGAUUGCGGGUACUCGAGUGGCGAACGGGUGAGUAACACGUGAGUGACCUGCCCCCAACUUGGGUAUAAGCCUGGGAAACUGGGUCUAAUUCCCGAUAGGACUGCAGGGUGGUGCCUGUGGUGGAAAACGAUUUUCUAGUGGUUGGGGAUGAGCUCGCGGCCUAUCAGCUUGUUGGUGGGGUAAUGGCCUACCAAGGCGGCGACGGGUAGCCGGCCUGAGAGGGUGGACGGCCACAUUGGGACUGAGAUACGGCCCAGACUCCUACGGGAGGCAGCAGUGGGGAAUAUUGCACAAUGGGCGGAAGCCUGAUGCAGCGACGCCGCGGGGGGGAUGACGGCCUUCGGGUUGUAAACUCCUUUCGACCGCGAGGAAGCCACCUGGUUGGAAGGGUGGUGACGGUAGUGGUAGAAGAAGCACCGGCUAACUACGUG